GAGACAUGCUUGCGCAGAAUACAGAGCAAGAGGGCUUCAGCAAACUGGAAAAAUGGUGAAGCUGCCUCCCAUAAGCUCUACAGGCACUGUCAUUACAGAGGCUGGAGCCAUAUCAACACAGAAAUGUUUAUGAUCCCUGCCUCAGUUGCGGAGGAAUUUAGGUGUGCAGUGAGCAAAACCGAGAACAUCAGAAACAGCAAGGAUGAUCUCACGGUUGAGGUGCCUACAGCGUGGUCAUUGUUGAGGUAUUUGAACAUUUCCUUGCAGAAUGGGAUUCGGUCCCUGCCUCUGCCAGAGGGCUGGUACCUGAUGUUAGGCCUGACUUUGACACUCACGGAUACUGUCGGGGCAGCUGGGCUUUACAUCCAGGUUGUUAAGUAAGUUAAAAAUUCAGGCUGCAGGUGUCUCAGGUGAGUGCUUCUUACUGAUGGAUAGUUUUCGACCUUAGUUUGAGCCAUAGUUACAAGGUAAAUGAUGGAAAAUGAGCCCCCUCCCCUCAUUCCCCUGCGUAUCAGUGGAGGGGAAGGUAACACUUCUUUUCUGCAGUGAUGACCGCCAUAAAAAAGCCAUGAAACUAUUCUGUUUGCAGAGAUGGGGAAUAAUAUGCAGUAAGCAAGGGCUGGGGAAUAAACCUGCUGUAUGUAUAUGCUAAUUAAGAAUG
This 661-nucleotide long non-coding RNA is filed under the name Struthio camelus australis. RNAcentral's name for it is "lncRNA (ENSSCUG00000008618.1)". Lineage: Eukaryota; Metazoa; Chordata; Aves; Struthioniformes; Struthionidae. The record is from RNAcentral.